Pelobates cultripes (western spadefoot toad) is the source of this 289-nucleotide non-coding RNA. The record is from the annotation of a GenBank genome assembly. Lineage: Eukaryota; Metazoa; Chordata; Amphibia; Anura; Pelobatidae.
AUUAGACAAAGUUUUGUCAAUUCCCACAGCCCUAAGCAGGUCCGCCAUCAGGGUGUGAUAAUCGUGACUGUGACGAACUGAGCCUCAUAAUGUGUUCUUGGAGGGGCCUGCUGGCCAGCCUCUUACCUCAGGACUAUGGGCCAUGCAAAAAGGCUCAUAAAAGACCUUGUUCGUGCCUUUUUGCUAUUCUGUUUGGUAGAUUACCCUCCUAUUCUAACAUUGUCCCGUUCGACUACCGAACAACCGCACGAACCAGAGACCACCCUGGAGCUUGUUAACACCUAUUAAC